This 1343-nucleotide ribosomal RNA is filed under the name uncultured bacterium. RNAcentral's name for it is "16S ribosomal RNA". It matches the Rfam family "Bacterial small subunit ribosomal RNA", at positions 28 to 1378 of the family's 1533-position model. The record is from RNAcentral.
GACGAACGCUGGCGGCGUGCUUAACACAUGCAAGUCGAACGGAAAGGCCCUGCUUUUGUGGGGUGCUCGAGUGGCGAACGGGUGAGUAACACGUGAGUAACCUGCCCUUGACUUUGGGAUAACUUCAGGAAACUGGGGCUAAUACCGGAUAGGAGCUCCUGCUGCAUGGUGGGGGUUGGAAAGUUUCGGCGGUUGGGGAUGGACUCGCGGCUUAUCAGCUUGUUGGUGGGGUAGUGGCUUACCAAGGCUUUGACGGGUAGCCGGCCUGAGAGGGUGACCGGCCACAUUGGGACUGAGAUACGGCCCAGACUCCUACGGGAGGCAGCAGUGGGGAAUAUUGUACAAUGGGCGGAAGCCUGAUGCAGCAACGCCGCGUGCGGGAUGACGGCCUUCGGGUUGUAAACCGCUUUCGCCUGUGACGAAGCGUGAGUGACGGUAAUGGGUAAAGAAGCACCGGCUAACUACGUGCCAGCAGCCGCGGUGAUACGUAGGGUGCGAGCGUUGUCCGGAUUUAUUGGGCGUAAAGGGCUCGUAGGUGGUUGAUCGCGUCGGAAGUGUAAUCUUGGGGCUUAACCCUGAGCGUGCUUUCGAUACGGGUUGACUUGAGGAAGGUAGGGGAGAAUGGAAUUCCUGGUGGAGCGGUGGAAUGCGCAGAUAUCAGGAGGAACACCAGUGGCGAAGGCGGUUCUCUGGGCCUUUCCUGACGCUGAGGAGCGAAAGCGUGGGGAGCGAACAGGCUUAGAUACCCUGGUAGCCCACGCUGUAAACGGUGGGUACUAGGUGUGGGGUCCAUUCCACGGGUUCCGUGCCGUAGCUAACGCUUUAAGUACCCCGCCUGGGGAGUACGGCCGCAAGGCUAAAACUCAAAGGAAUUGACGGGGCCCCGCACAAGCGGCGGAGCAUGCGGAUUAAUUCGAUGCAACGCGUAGAACCUUACCUGGGUUUGACAUGGAUCGGGAGUGCUCAGAGAUGGGUGUGCCUCUUUUGGGGUCGGUUCACAGGUGGUGCAUGCCUGUCGUCAGCUCGUGUCGUGAGAUGUUGGGUUAAGUCCCGCAACGAGCGCAACCCUUGUUCACUGUUGCCAGCACGUUAUGGUGGGGACUCAGUGGAGACCGCCGGGGUCAACUCGGAGGAAGGUGGGGAUGACGUCAAGUCCUCAUGCCCCUUAUGUCCAGGGCUUCACGCAUGCUACAAUGGCUGGUACAGAGAGUGGCGAGCCUGUGAGGGUGAGCGAAUCUCGGAAAGCCGGUCUCAGUUCGGAUUGGGGUCUGCAACUCGACCUCAUGAAGUCGGAGUCGCUAGUAAUCGCAGAUCAGCAACGCUGCGGUGAAUACGUUCCCGGG